This 5001-nucleotide unclassified non-coding RNA is filed under the name Hevea brasiliensis (rubber tree). The record is from RNAcentral. Lineage: Eukaryota; Viridiplantae; Streptophyta; Magnoliopsida; Malpighiales; Euphorbiaceae.
UUUUUUUUUUUUUUUUUCUUGAUGGCUUUUUGGUUGAGAAUAGAAUCACGGCACCACUACGAGAGUUCUUUUUGACCUUCUUUUUUCCUGUCAAGCUUUCUAUGGUUUCAUGGGAAUUGUUGGUGGCUUUCUCUUUAUAACUUUCUUGUGAUUCCCGGUUCAGUUCAUUCGAGGCACUAAGAGUAGAUAAGCCGGUGGGGAUUUCGAAGUCGAUUUUGGUUUGUUCUACAACUUUUGGUUUUUUAAGCACAGAUUUGGGUAAAUUCUGGUGCUUGUUGAUUUAUAUGGGUUAGUCUGAUUAAAAGAAGCUACCGGAGAAACAGGAGAAGAGUUGAGGAAAGAGGGUUGAGAGAUGUCAUCAAAAUCGACAAGCAAGGCUAAUAGUGCAAGGAGCAGUUCUGCUCGAUCAAGACAAAGUGCGCGUGUGGUUGCUCAGACGCCAAUUGAUGCAAAAUUGCAUGUUAACUUUGAAGAAUCUGAAUGCCAGUUUGAUUACUCUACAUCAAUUGACUUCAAUGUCUCGAGUUCAACUAGCAAUGUUCCUUCUCAAACUGUGUCUGCUUACCUCCAAAAGAUGCAGAGAGGUGGACUUAUUCAACCAUUUGGCUGCAUGAUUGCUGUUGAUGAGCAAAAUUUGAAGGUUCUUGCCUAUAGUGAAAAUGCCCCAGAAAUGUUGGACUUGGCACCACAUGCUGUUCCAAGUAUUGAGCAACAAGAAGCUCUGACUUUUGGAACGGAUAUACGGACACUUUUCCGGCCCCCAGGUGCAGCUGCCUUGCAUAAAGCAGCCAAUUUUGGGGAAGUUAAUCUUCUUAAUCCCAUAUUGGUCCAUUGUAAAACCAGCGACAAGCCAUUUUAUGCAAUUUUGCAUAGAAUUGAUGUGGGGUUGGUUAUAGAUCUGGAACCAGUUAAUCCAGCUGAUGUGCCAGUUACGGCUGCUGGGGCAUUGAAAUCAUAUAAACUUGCUGCCAAAGCCAUCUCAAGGUUGCAGUCAUUGCCCAGUGGGAAUAUAUCACUAUUAUGUGAUGUUUUAGUUCAGGAAGUUGGUGAUUUGACUGGUUAUGAUCGAGUUAUGGUUUAUAAAUUUCAUGAAGAUGAGCACGGGGAAGUUGUUGCAGAGUGCUGUAAACCUGAUUUGGAACCUUAUCUUGGCUUGCAUUACCCAGCUACGGAUAUACCACAAGCUUCAAGAUUUUUCUUCAUGAAAAACAAGGUACGGAUGAUAUGUGAUUGUUUGGCUUCCCCAGUAAAAAUAAUUCAAGACAAGAGCUUGGCACAACCAUUAAGUCUUUGUGGAUCCACGUUGAGAUCUCCUCAUGGUUGCCAUGCACAAUAUAUGGCAAAUAUGGGCUCAAUUGCAUCUCUUGUGAUGUCUGUGACAAUUAAUGAGGAUGGUGAUGAGAUAGAAAAUGAUCAGCAGAAGGGAAGAAAAUUGUGGGGUUUAGUGGUUUGCCAUCACAUGAGCCCCAGGUUUGUUUCAUUUCCUGUGAGGUAUGCUUGUGAGUUUUUGAUCCAAGUUUUUGGUGUUCAGAUCAACAAGCAAGUGGAGUUGGCAGCUCAAACAAGGGAAAAGCAUAUUUUGCAAACUCAAACUUUACUUUGUGACAUGCACCUUAGGGAUGCUCCUGUGGCAAUUAUUACUCAAUCACCUAAUGUGAUGGAUCUUGUCAAGUGUGAUGGAGCUGCUCUUUACUAUGGGAAGAAAUUUUGGUUGGUUGGUGUUACCCCUACAGAGGCACAGGUUAGAGAUAUAGCUGAAUGGCUUCUUGAUUAUCACAGUGAUAGUACAGGCUUAAUUACUGAUAGCCUUAUGGAAGCUGGCUACCCUGGUGCUUCAGUUCUUGGUGAUGCAAUCCAUGGGAUGGCUGCUGUUAGGAUUACUUCAAAAGAUUUCCUUUUUUGGUUUAGGUCCCACACUGCUAAAGAGAUUAAGUGGGGUGGUGCAAAGCACGACCCUGUUGACAAGGAUGAUGGAAGAAAGAUGCACCCCAGAUCAUCAUUCAAGGCUUUUCUGGAGGUAGUUAAAUGGAAGAGCUUUCCUUGGGAAGAUAUUGAAAUGGAUGCCAUUCAUUCUUUACAGCUGAUAUUGAGAGAAUCCUUGCAGAAUGAGGCCGCAGAUGUUUCCAAAACGAUUGUGAAUGUUCCAUCGGUUAAUGACAGAAUUCAAAGAGCAGAUGAAUUACGCAUCUUCACAAAUGAAAUGUUUCGUCUUAUUGAGACAGCUGCCGUACCUAUUAUGGCUGUAGAUGUCUUGGGUAAUAUAAAUGGCUGGAAUUCUAAAGCAGUUGAACUAACUGGUCUGCCUGUCGACCAAGCCAUUGGCAUGCCCUUAGUUGAUCUUGUUGAGGGUGACUCGAUCAAUGUAAUGACAAAUGUACUAUCUUCAGCUAUGCAAGGUGAUUCUACUUUCUAUUCUUGGACAGGUUUACGUUUUAUAUAUACAAACCAUACAUAUGGGCUAAUUUCAAAUUAGUUCAUAUAACUCCCACCAAAAAUUUAUUGCUUAUAUUUGCAUAUCUUGCUCAGAGCUGAUUUUUAUUGGAUGGCUUUUAUUGUAGAGGUAACUUCGGAGUUUAAAACAAAAUGCAACUAUCUGGUAAUUUGUUUCUAGUGUAUUUAUUCAUAACUUUAGAUGAGGAAUGCUAGAUGUUUUAGUGUUGUCGUGCUUGGGAUGUCUACUUUAUUAAUGAACCUUGCUAGAAUGUAAACAGUAUUGUAUGGGUUCCAGUUAUGAACUGAUUUUUCUAAUUGAAGGAAGUGCCAAGUAAUCUAGUGUAUCAGGUUAUUUUCAAUUUCUAUUGAACUUUUCUCAGUAGAAUUUUAUAGAAAUGGAUAACAGUAUUACAUCUUUCCUUCUCAGCCAGCAAUGUAAUUACUAGUACUAUGUGCAACACUUUGAUUUUUAAUUAGUAACAAGAGAUGUAAUGAUUUUUAAUAAACCAUGAAUAAUCCAAAUAUUUCAUGGUUUUCAGCAAGCAUCUAUCUUGACAGAUUGCCAAAAGAGAGAUAUAAAAGAGCUAAAUUGUAAUGUGAGAAGCCUGGUGUACUGGAACGUCCUUUCUGUUGUCUCCAUGUUCUUUUAACCUGCUAUGAGUUUUUUCCCCCUAAUCUUGCAGCAAUAUAUGACAGGUGUAGAAGAGAAAAGUGUUGAAAUCAAACUUAAGACUUUUGGUCCUCAGGUAAACAGUGGUCAUGUAUUUUUGGUAGUUAAUGCAUGUUGCAGUCGAGAUGUAAGGGAAAAUGUGGUGGGAGUUUGCUUUGUUGGGCAAGACCUUACAGGGCAAAAAGUGGUUAUGGAGAAAUACACCCAUAUGCAAGGUGAUUAUGUUGGAAUUGUGCGCAACCCGUCUACCCUUAUUCCACCAAUUUUUAUGACAAAUGAGAAUGGUCAAUGCCUGGAAUGGAAUUAUGCUAUGCAGAAAUUGUCUGGUUUGAAGAGGGAGGAAGCUGUUGAAAAAAUGCUUCUUGGGGAAGUUUUCACGGUCAACAGUUUUGGCUGUCGGGUCAAAGAUAAUGACACGUUAACCAAACUCAGGAUAUUACUGAACAGGGUAAUUGCUGGCCAGGAUGCAGAGAAAAUGUUAUUUGGAUUCUUUGAUCAGCAGGGUAAAUAUGUUGAAGCUUUGCUAUCUGCAAACAAAAGAACUGAUGCAGAGGGAAGGAUCACUGGAGUUCUGUUCUUCUUGCAUGUGGCUAGCCCAGAACUUCAAUAUGCUUUGCAGUUGCAGAGAAUGUCAGAACAGGCUGCAGCUAGCAGCUUUAAUAAAUUGGAAUAUGUUCACCAAGAAGUCAGGAAAACUUCAAACGGAAUUAUGCUAAUGCAGAAUUUAUUGGGUAAUUCAGACUUAAGCAAAGAACAGAGACAGCUUCUGAAGAUGAGCAUUUUGUGUCGAGAACAGUUAAACAAUAUUAUCAAUGACAAUAAUCUUGAGAGCAUUGAGGAAUGCUAUAUGGAAUUGAACUCUGGUGAGUUUAAUCUUGGAGAAACUCUGGAAGUUGUCAUAAAACAAGCUAUGACACUAAGCCUGGAGCGGCAGGUGGAGAUUAUACGUGAUUUACCAUCAGAACUGUCAUCCAUGCACUUAUAUGGAGAUAACUUGAGGCUUCAGCAAGUCCUUUCAGAUUUUAUGACAAAUGCACUCAUCUUUACCCCUGCAUUUGAGGGUUCAUCAAUUGCAUUCAGGGUAAUUCCAAGAAAGGAACGUAUAGGGAAGAAGAUGCACAUUGUUCAUCUUGAAUUUUGUAUCUCCCAUCCAGUCCCAGGAAUUCCAGAAGAUUUAAUGCAUGAGAUGUUUCACCACCGCCAGGGAGUUUCAAGAGAAGGCCUUGGCCUAUACAUCAGCCAGAAGCUUGUUAAGAUUAUGAAUGGAACUGUACAGUACCUUAGAGAAGCAGAAAGGUCAUCUUUCAUUGUCCUAAUAGAAUUUCCGUUGGCUAACCAGAUUAACGUUAGUUAAACUGAAUGGUUUCAUCAGUAGAGGAGAUGAACAAUAUCUACUGUCGGCUCAUGCCAUCAUAGAAAAAUGACUGUCUAAAUAGCUCGGCAAUCGGCAUUGAACCAGCAGUCACUUCAAGGGUGCCUGCUACUGGAAAUUACGCAUUGCAGCUUCAUGCAGUGCCUUAGUGUCGUAGAGAUUGUAAAGCCGGUGAGGAUUUUAUCUGGGGAUUCUAGCAAUGAAGAAGCAUAAUAAAUUCGGUCGAACACAGUCUCUUUCCAUGAUCUUCAUAAAUCAUUCCCUCCCUGUCAAUGAGAAAUUGUGUAAUUUAUUUAGCUUGAGCUGUCUCUUCCUUUAAGCUACAGAAGACUCAACCCUUAUGUUGUACAGUGGAACUACUCUUAGGUUAUCUAGGUUUAGCAAGGCUAUCCAGGGAGUUGUAUGGCUAAGGGGUAUGAAAAUUUAAUUUUGCGAGUUUUCAGAAGUUUAAGAUUGUGUGAUGUUGAUUACAUUGAUGUAUGAGGAAGAGGAUAAGUAUCAGCAGCAAGAUGAUAUUUAAUAAUUU